This 254-nucleotide long non-coding RNA is filed under the name Gossypium barbadense (sea-island cotton). Its description in RNAcentral is "long non-coding RNA (GBAR_LNC015910)". The record is from RNAcentral. Lineage: Eukaryota; Viridiplantae; Streptophyta; Magnoliopsida; Malvales; Malvaceae.
AAGGCUAAACAAAAUAGAAAUUGAAGAUGAGUGAACGUAUUAGUGCUGUUAUUUACUAUGAUGGUAAGGUCUGUGACACCGAGAACGACGUUAUUUUUUUAUCGGAGAAUACAGCGCGACUGGUUUUUAACCAGAACAUAGAUUUGAUGGAACUUCGUAAAAGAAUUAGGCGUAAAAUCUUCGAAACGAUGCCAAUGAGAGUUUCAUCUAUUAAGUAUCGAUUUUGUGCUUCGAUUGAUCCCGUGACAUAUGAC